AUGCUGGCUCUUAAUUGAGCAUGUGCUCGUUCCAUCUAUUUAUCUUCUCUUGUGCACAUUUUGUAGUCUUGAAUUGAAACCUCUCGCAGUCAAUGCGGUUUGGGAGAAUGUUAACCCUUCUCCUGCUUCUUCAAGGCUAUGUUUUCAUAUACACUAUAAAGUUACAGAAUGUCUUUUAACGACUUGUGCUUGUCGCAGUCAUUAAACCUAUACAACUUUCAGCAACGGAUCUCUUGGCUCUCCUAUCGAUGAAGAACGCAGCGAAAUGCGAUAAGUAAUGUGAAUUGCAGAAUUCAGUGAAUCAUCGAAUCUUUGAACGCACCUUGCGCCCUUUGGUAUUCCGAAGGGCAUGCCUGUUUGAGUGUCAUUAAAUUAUCAACCUUGCUCGCUUUUACCGGCUUGAGUGAGGCUUGGACGUGAGGGCUUUGCUGGCUUCCUUCAGUGGAUGGUCUGCUCCCUUUAAAUGCAUUAGUGGGAUCUCUUGUGGACCGUCACUUGGUGUGAUAAUUAUCUAUGCCAUUUGACUUUGAAGCAAACUUAUGGGAACCUGCUUAUAACCGUCUUCGGACAACCUUUGACAUUUUGACCUCAAAUCAGGUAGGACUACCCGCUGAACUUAAGCAUAUCAAUAAGCGGAGGAAAA
RNAcentral lists this ribosomal RNA (643 nucleotides) under Mycena algeriensis. RNAcentral describes it as "eukaryotic LSU rRNA". The stretch from base 214 to 367 matches the Rfam family "5.8S ribosomal RNA". The record is from RNAcentral. Lineage: Eukaryota; Fungi; Basidiomycota; Agaricomycetes; Agaricales; Mycenaceae.